UACGAAGGGGGCUAGCGUUGCUCGGAAUCACUGGGCGUAAAGGUGCGUAGGCGGGUCUUUAAGUCAGGGGUGAAAUCCUGGAGCUCAACUCCAGAACUGCCUUUGAUACUGAGAUCUUGAGUUCGGGAGAGGUGAGUGGAACUGCGAGUGUAGAGGUGAAAUUCGUAGAUAUUCGCAAGAACACCAGUGGCGAAGGCGGCUCACUGGCCCGAUACUGACGCUGAGGCACGAAAGCGUGGGGAGCAAACAGG
RNAcentral lists this ribosomal RNA (251 nucleotides) under uncultured bacterium. Its description in RNAcentral is "partial 16S ribosomal RNA". It matches the Rfam family "Bacterial small subunit ribosomal RNA", at positions 524 to 776 of the family's 1533-position model. The record is from RNAcentral.